AAUAAACCUUUCUAGGGUUCCACGACGAUGGUGUUGGUUCGGUCCGAGAGAAAGGCACAUAUUAAUAUGUGACACGGAAGGAUAAAAGCCUGGGAGAU
RNAcentral lists this small RNA (98 nucleotides) under Staphylococcus cohnii. RNAcentral describes it as "Guanidine-I sequence". It matches the Rfam family "Guanidine-I riboswitch aptamer". Rfam says of the family: This family represents a conserved RNA structure found upstream of the ykkC and yxkD genes in Bacillus subtilis and related genes in other bacteria. The function of this family is unclear although it has been suggested that it may function to switch on efflux pumps and detoxification systems in response to harmful environmental molecules. The record is from RNAcentral. Lineage: Bacteria; Bacillati; Bacillota; Bacilli; Caryophanales; Staphylococcaceae.